Molecule: ribosomal RNA, 497 nt
Filed under: uncultured bacterium
Lineage: Bacteria
Description: partial 16S ribosomal RNA
Rfam family: Bacterial small subunit ribosomal RNA
Source: RNAcentral
GAUGAACGCUGGCGGCGUGCCUAAUACAUGCAAGUCGAGCGAACGAACGAGAAGCUUGCUUCUCUGAUGUUAGCGGCGGACGGGUGAGUAACACGUGGAUAACCUACCUAUAAGACUGGGAUAACUUCGGGAAACCGGAGCUAAUACCGGAUAAUAUUUUGAACCGCAUGGUUCAAAAGUGAAAGACGGUCUUGCUGUCACUUAUAGAUGGAUCCGCGCUGCAUUAGCUAGUUGAUAAGGUAACGGCUUACCAAGGCAACGAUGCAUAGCCGACCUGAGAGGGUGAUCGGCCACACUGGAACUGAGACACGGUCCAGACUCCUACGGGAGGCAGCAGUAGGGAAUCUUCCGCAAUGGGCGAAAGCCUGACGGAGCAACGCCGCGUGAGUGAUGAAGGUCUUCGGAUCGUAAAACUCUGUUAUUAGGGAAGAACAUAUGUGUAAGUAACUGUGCACAUCUUGACGGUACCUAAUCAGAAAGCCACGGCUAACUACGUG